This 292-nucleotide ribosomal RNA is filed under the name uncultured Planctomycetota bacterium. Its description in RNAcentral is "uncultured planctomycete partial 16S ribosomal RNA". The record is from RNAcentral. Lineage: Bacteria; Pseudomonadati; Planctomycetota.
GGACUACUGGGGUAUCUAAUUCCGUUCGCUACCCUGGCUUUCGUGCCUCAGCGUCAGAGAGUGCCCAGUAAGCUGCCUACGCCAUCGGUGUUCCUUGCGAUAUCAGUGCAUUUCACCGCUCCACCGCAAGUUCCGCUUACCCCUACACCCCUCAAGUUCGCCAGUUUGAAACGCAAUUCCACGGUUGAGCCGUGGGAUUUCACAUCUCACUUAACGAACAGCCUACGCACCCUUUAAGCCCAGUGAUUCCGAAUAACGUUUGGACAGUUCGUCUUACCGCGGCUGCUGGCAC